This 209-nucleotide long non-coding RNA is filed under the name Elaeis guineensis (African oil palm). Its description in RNAcentral is "long non-coding RNA (EGUI_LNC021820)". The record is from RNAcentral. Lineage: Eukaryota; Viridiplantae; Streptophyta; Magnoliopsida; Arecales; Arecaceae.
UGGUCCGUAUAUGUUAGUGAGAAACCAUUGUGAUUUAUUUUUCAUUGUCGUGAAAUAGGUAGUGAUUGUGAAAUCUCCUAUAUGAAUUGCUGCUCCAUUAACUAGGGUUGGCUUCCAAGCAAUCAAUAAACCACCCGAUGAGCCUAUAGCCUCUUUGUAAUGCCAUUCUGUGAAGUUGAAGCUGCAAGCUGAUUUGACAAGGUUUAAGU